ACCCAGCUGACGAGUCCCAAAUGGGACGAAACGCGCGUUCUGUAU
RNAcentral lists this non-coding RNA (45 nucleotides) under Schistosoma mansoni. The record is from RNAcentral. Lineage: Eukaryota; Metazoa; Platyhelminthes; Trematoda; Strigeidida; Schistosomatidae.